Long non-coding RNA from Rhincodon typus (whale shark), 320 nucleotides. RefSeq lists it as uncharacterized. Lineage: Eukaryota; Metazoa; Chordata; Chondrichthyes; Orectolobiformes; Rhincodontidae. The record is from RefSeq and is a predicted model, not a curated record. The transcript is spliced from 3 exons.
UCCUUUAUGCUGUAUCUUCGAUCCUGGUGAACUGCACAAACAGUUAUGAUGUCAAGGAGAAAAUCCCAGAGCUGGUCGAGUUGGCAAAAUUGUCAAAACAGCAUGUACCUGAAGACCAUCCAAAGGAUAAAAAAGACUUUGUGAUGAUGCGUGUCAAGCGUUUGAUCAAAGCUGGCAUUGUCUCUGCCCUUGCUGUCAUGCUGAAGGCAGACAGUGCCAUUCUAACAGACCAGACCAAGGAGCUUAUGGCUAGGGUGUUCCUUGCAUUGGUUGAAGAUGUUAGAGAUCGUGGCAAAGUUGUGGCACAAGGUGGUGGAAAG